RNAcentral lists this microRNA precursor (81 nucleotides) under Ovis aries (sheep). Its description in RNAcentral is "miRNA (ENSOARG00000021945.1)". The record is from RNAcentral. Lineage: Eukaryota; Metazoa; Chordata; Mammalia; Artiodactyla; Bovidae.
AGUGGCCUGGCCAAUUAGUUCGUUUGGGUUUUUCCAUAAGAUGUAAUGGAAAAACUUGAAUGAACUUUUUGGGCAACCCAG